Molecule: ribosomal RNA, 253 nt
Filed under: uncultured bacterium
Lineage: Bacteria
Description: partial 16S ribosomal RNA
Rfam family: Bacterial small subunit ribosomal RNA
Source: RNAcentral
UACGUAGGAUCCGAGCGUUGUCCGGAUUUACUGGGUGUAAAGGGCGUGUAGGUGGAUCGGCAAGUCGAUGGUGAAAUCCUGCGGCUCAACCGCAGAAUUGCCUUCGAAACUACCGAUCUUGAGUGCGGCAGAGGGAGACGGAAUUCAUGGUGUAGCGGUGAAAUGUGUAGAUAUCAUGAAGAACACCGGUUGCGAAGGCGGUCUCCUGGUCCGUUACUGACACUGAGGCGCGAAAGCGUGGGGAGCAAACAGG